Molecule: ribosomal RNA, 301 nt
Filed under: uncultured bacterium
Lineage: Bacteria
Description: partial 16S ribosomal RNA
Rfam family: Bacterial small subunit ribosomal RNA
Source: RNAcentral
CAGCAGCCGCGGGAAUACAGAGGGUGCAAGCGUUAAUCGGAAUUACUGGGCGUAAAGCGCGCGUAGGUGGUUUGUUAAGUUGGAUGUGAAAUCCCCGGGCUCAACCUGGGAACUGCAUUCAAAACUGACUGACUAGAGUAUGGUAGAGGGUGGUGGAAUUUCCUGUGUAGCGGUGAAAUGCGUAGAUAUAGGAAGGAACACCAGUGGCGAAGGCGACCACCUGGACUAAUACUGACACUGAGGUGCGAAAGCGUGGGGAGCAAACAGGAUUAGAUACCCCCGUAGUCCCUGUCUCUUAUAA